This is a non-coding RNA of Schistosoma curassoni, 46 nucleotides long. Lineage: Eukaryota; Metazoa; Platyhelminthes; Trematoda; Strigeidida; Schistosomatidae. The record is from Rfam.
CGGUUGCUGAGGUGUCCCAUAAUAGGACGAAACAGUUGUCCAGUGC